Molecule: transfer RNA, 115 nt
Filed under: Fibrobacter sp.
Lineage: Bacteria; Pseudomonadati; Fibrobacterota; Fibrobacteria; Fibrobacterales; Fibrobacteraceae
Description: tRNA-OTHER
Rfam family: tRNA
About the family: Transfer RNA (tRNA) molecules are approximately 80 nucleotides in length.
Source: RNAcentral
AGCCUCGUAGCCUAGCGGUCAGGCAGCACGGCAUUGAAUGGAAGCAAUGCGAGCGUGUCCCGUCCCACUUCCAUAAAGGGGCGGCUAGACAUCGGUUCGAAUCCGGUCGAGGCUA